CGGGUGAGUAAGGUAUAGUUAAUCUGCCCUACACAAGAGGACAACAGUUGGAAACGACUGCUAAUACUCUAUACUCCUGCUUAACACAAGUUGAGUAGGGAAAGUUUUUCGGUGUAGGAUGAGACUAUAUAGUAUCAGCUAGUUGGUAAGGUAAUGGCUUACCAAGGCUAUGACGCUUAACUGGUCUGAGAGGAUGAUCAGUCACACUGGAACUGAGACACGGUCCAGACUCCUACGGGAGGCAGCAGUAGGGAAUAUUGCGCAAUGGGGGAAACCCUGACGCAGCAACGCCGCGUGGAGGAUGACACUUUUCGGAGCGUAAACUCCUUUUCUUAGGGAAGAAUUCUGACGGUACCUAAGGAAUAAGCACCGGCUAACUCCGUGCCAGCAGCCGCGGUAAUACGGAGGGUGCAAGCGUUACUCGGAAUCACUGGGCGUAAAGGGCGCGUAGGCGGAUUAUCAAGUCUCUUGUGAAAUCUAAUGGCUUAACCAUUAAACUGCUUGAGAAACUGAUAGUCUAGAGUGAGGGAGAGGCAGAUGGAAUUGGUGGUGUAGGGGUAAAAUCCGUAGAUAUCACCAAGAAUACCCAUUGCGAAGGCGAUUUGCUGGAACUCAACUGACGCUAAGGCGCGAAAGCGUGGGGAGCAAACAGGAUUAGAUACCCUGGUAGUCCACGCCCUAAACGAUGUACACUAGUUGUUGGGGUGCUAGCCAUCUCAGUAAUGCAGCUAACGCAUUAAGUGUACCGCCUGGGGAGUACGGUCGCAAGAUUAAAACUCAAAGGAAUAGACGGGGACCCGCACAAGCGGUGGAGCAUGUGGUUUAAUUCGAAGAUACGCGAAGAACCUUACCUGGGCUUGAUAUCCUAAGAACCUUAUAGAGAUAUGAGGGUGCUAGCUUGCUAGAACUUAGAGACAGGUGCUGCACGGCUGUCGUCAGCUCGUGUCGUGAGAUGUUGGGUUAAGUCCCGCAACGAGCGCAACCCACGUAUUUAGUUGCUAACGGUUCGGCCGAGCACUCUAAAUAGACUGCCUUCGUAAGGAGGAGGAAGGUGUGGACGACGUCAAGUCAUCAUGGCCCUUAUGCCCAGGGCGACACACGUGCUACAAUGGCAUAUACAAUGAGACGCAAUACCGCGAGGUGGAGCAAAUCUAUAAAAUAUGUCCCAGUUCGGAUUGUUCUCUGCAACUCGAGAGCAUGAAGCCGGAAUCGCUAGUAAUCGUAGAUCAGCCAUGCUACGGUGAAUACGUUCCCGGGUCUUGUACUCACCGCCCGUCACACCAUGGGAGUUGAUUUCACUCGAAGCCGGAAUACUAAACUAGUUACCGUCCACAGUGGAAUCAGCGACUGGGGUGAAGUCGUAACAAGGUAAC
This 1373-nucleotide ribosomal RNA is filed under the name Campylobacter jejuni. Its description in RNAcentral is "bacterial SSU rRNA". It matches the Rfam family "Bacterial small subunit ribosomal RNA". The record is from RNAcentral. Lineage: Bacteria; Pseudomonadati; Campylobacterota; Epsilonproteobacteria; Campylobacterales; Campylobacteraceae.